This 433-nucleotide ribosomal RNA is filed under the name uncultured bacterium. Its description in RNAcentral is "partial 16S ribosomal RNA". It matches the Rfam family "Bacterial small subunit ribosomal RNA", at positions 29 to 507 of the family's 1533-position model. The record is from RNAcentral.
AACGAACGCUGGCGGCAUGCCUAACACAUGCAAGUCGAACGAGACCUUCGGGUCUAGUGGCGCACGGGUGCGUAACGAGUGGGAACCUGCCCUUAGGUUCGGAAUAACUACCCGAAAGGGGGGAUAAUACCGGAUAAUGUCUUGGGACCAAAGAUUUAUCGCCUUUGGAUGGGCCCGCGUUGGAUUAGCUAGUUGGUAGGGUAAAAGCCUACCAAGGCGACGAUCCAUAGCUGGUCUGAGAGGAUGAUCAGCCACACUGGGACUGAGACACGGCCCAGACUCCUACGGGAGGCAGCAGUGGGGAAUAUUGGACAAUGGGCGAAAGCCUGAUCCAGCAAUGCCGCGUGAGUGAUGAAGGCCUUAGGGUUGUAAAGCUCUUUUACCCGGGAUGAUAAUGACAGUACCGGGAGAAUAAGCUCCGGCUAACUCCGUG